AGAGCGAACGCUGGCGGCAUGCUUAACACAUGCAAGUCGCACGGGCAGGGGAAACCCUGUCAGUGGCGGACGGGUGAGUAACGCGUAGGUAUCUAUCCUUGGGUGGGGGACAACUGUGGGAAACUACAGCUAAUACCGCAUGAUGACCGAGGUCCAAAGGCCGCAAGGCCGCCUGGGGAGGAGCCUGCGUACGAUUAGCUAGUUGGUGGGGUAACUGCCUACCAAGGCGACGAUCGUUAGCUGGUCUGAGAGGAUGAUCAGCCACAUUGGGACUGAGACACGGCCCAAACUCCUACGGGAGGCAGCAGUGGGGAAUAUUGGACAAUGGGCGCAAGCCUGAUCCAGCAAUGCCGCGUGGGUGAAGAAGGUCUUCGGAUUGUAAAGCCCUUUCGACGGGACGAUGAUGACGGUACCCGUAGAAGAAGCCCGGCUAACUUCGCGCCAGCAGCCGC
Molecule: ribosomal RNA, 452 nt
Filed under: uncultured bacterium
Lineage: Bacteria
Description: SSU rRNA
Rfam family: Bacterial small subunit ribosomal RNA
Source: RNAcentral